Plodia interpunctella (Indianmeal moth) is the source of this 78-nucleotide small nucleolar RNA. NCBI's taxonomy places the organism in Eukaryota, Metazoa, Arthropoda, Insecta, Lepidoptera, Pyralidae. The record is from RefSeq and is a predicted model, not a curated record.
AUUUUAUGAUGAUUUCAAAUAAUCACCAUCUUUCGACUGAAAAGUUGUGAUGUUAAAUAUUUGUUACUGAUAUUUUAA